CUGGCUCCAGGCAGAGGUAAUGUCUAUUAGAGCUGGCUCCAGACAGAGGUAAUGUCUAUUAUAGCUGGCUCCAGGCAGAGGUAAUGUCUAUUAGAGCUGGCUGCAGACAGAAAUAAUGUAUAUUAUAGCUGGCUCCAGACAGAGGUAAUGUCUAUUAUAGGUAAUGUAAAAGGUCAGGUGUGUGUGUGUGUGUGCUAUAUCUGGGUCCAGCCAGACUGAAUGCUAAAUCAAAGUGUAUUGGUGGUGUACAUUGUCUAUCAGAUGUUACAGCAGGUGCAGAGAGAUGCUUCUAGGGAGUUGGCUAGGAGAUAGAAACAGGGAGACUGUCAGCGCCAUCUUGUUCAAAAGGUCAGGUCUUUCUGUGUCUGUGCGCCCGCACCUGUUGAAAACGGCA
This 394-nucleotide long non-coding RNA is filed under the name Salmo salar (Atlantic salmon). RNAcentral's name for it is "lncRNA (ENSSSAG00000098649.1)". The record is from RNAcentral. Lineage: Eukaryota; Metazoa; Chordata; Actinopteri; Salmoniformes; Salmonidae.